Long non-coding RNA from Haliotis rubra (blacklip abalone), 313 nucleotides. RefSeq lists it as uncharacterized. The record is from RefSeq and is a predicted model, not a curated record. The transcript is spliced from 3 exons. NCBI's taxonomy places the organism in Eukaryota, Metazoa, Mollusca, Gastropoda, Lepetellida, Haliotidae.
UCGGAGUUCAUAAACAGAACAGACGGACAGCAACCCACCAGUUGUUCAUUUCUCAUGCCAGUGUAUAUGAUGUUACAAGCCUUUGUUGUCUGUGCCGUGUUAGUGGCUGCGGAGGGCACGUCCGACAUUCGUGACUGUGCGAGUGUGUUCAGCCAGCUACUCACCGGUCUGCGCAUCUAACAGAGUGACGUAUUCCAACCCUUGUGAAAUGGGCGUCAGUCUCUGCUUGUCUGGACAGCUCGCUACGGUCACAGUUAUUGACAUGGGUGCUUGCUAGCUUGACACUAGAGCGUAAUAAAACAUUGUAUCGGUG